Acanthochromis polyacanthus (spiny chromis) is the source of this 3424-nucleotide long non-coding RNA. RefSeq lists it as uncharacterized. Lineage: Eukaryota; Metazoa; Chordata; Actinopteri; Pomacentridae. The transcript is spliced from 2 exons. The record is from RefSeq and is a predicted model, not a curated record.
UUUUUUAUUGUUUACUUGAGAUAAUAAUAAUAAUAACACUAAUAAUUUAUUUUUUCUCUAUUUUUUCAUGUAUUUUUCUCCUGAGUCAAAUCCACUCAACUUCAGUUUGAUUGAUAUUAUCUCAAGUAAACAAUAAAAAAAGUUUUCUGAAAAUUUAUCAAAACGCAGUUGUCUGUUUUUGCAAAUGAACUCUUCAUAUAUUGUUAUAGAUUUAUGUUCAAUUCACUGAUGUGUGAUAUCGAGAACAUUUAUACUCCAGUGAUACUUUAGCGGGUCAGUAAAUUAGCUGUACCCUGCUGCUGUGUUAGCUAAUGCUAGCAUUCUGCUAGUGGGGCUUUCCUUGAGCUGUUAAUUAUCAGACCAAUUGGUAGCUUGAACUUGGACAAGUCAGUUAGUAGUUUGCGGGCGGGACUCUCUUAGUUUAGUAUCGUAGCUUAAUGUUGUGUAUUCAUGUAGCAUAUUGGCGCUGACUUAAGUGUAGUUAUUCCAUAACAUUAGCUCUUUAUAGCAGCAAGCUGGGCCGGCGUUUCUCUUCAGACAACUUCGGGCACGCCCAUUUAUACAUGAGUGUUGGUUUGCAUGCCUGUGGGCGCGCACAGUUCAUGUGGUCACACUUUUGGAUUGUCCUCAUGGCCACAGGUAAUGUGAGAGGGAAGGUUGAUUAUGUUUUAACUGUGUUGCUUCCAGGAUACGUGAAUUAACUGCCGCCUGCGUUGUUUUCAAUAUACUCAACGUUAAGAGGGAGAGAACAGAGGGUGUGUGCGGCACAUGUACACACCGAUCGGUUGUAGUGAGGGAGAGGGAGUAUAUGGUGUGCGGUGUCUCGGUGGCAGGGCUGCUGUCGUAUUUACGCUGCACAUGGAAGCAGUAGUGAUGACUGUUCACUGUGUGAAGGGUGUCCCAGCUUCGUGUUGUGCCAUCUCCGUCCCUGUAUUCGGACCAGCCAAAAAAAUUUCCUUGUCCUUAAUAUUAAUGGAUUUGUAAUUUUCUUAUAUUUUUUUCAUGACUGGUGGUGGUUACUUCAGGCCAGCACACAGCUCAACUAAGGUAAGUUGCACUCCCAAAAUAGAAUAGAGUGCUACAGACCAGACUGAAAUGUGGCUGUAUGCAAGUUCCAUGAUGGUGUAUUGAAGUGAAAAAAAAUAUUGGAAAAAAUAAAAGUAACGUCAACUGUUACAAUAAUGGUGAAAUGCCGGUGAUUGUUUACAGGCCUGUUUCAGCAUGAACUGUACCAACGUUUAAUGUGCAGUUUUGCCAAAAUGAAUUACAAUUUUGUAAUUCAGCAAUUAAAAACAUGCACAAACAAAUGGACAAACACGUCAUACACAAUCACACUGGUAUAAUCAGCACAACUCAGUCUUUGUAGAAUGGAGGACAAACAUCUAUAAGUCAAAAUUUGAGAUUAUAGAAAAAGUAUAACACUAUUAAACUUUGAAAAUAGAGCUGUCAGAUUUUUUGUUGGCCCAUCACACUUCCAGUAUGAGUCUGAAUACAUAUAUUUCAUUUGUUUAAGUACAUAGAUGCAGAUGAACACUGUAAACAUCAUGAAAGACACACAUACAUAAUAUGAUUGCACAAACUAACUACAUAUCUUUAACCCUCAGGACUUCUGUACUCCAGAGCUUCCUGUCAUUGCAGUCAACCUCUCCAGAGGUGUCUGCUGAUGACAACAGGAUUACAUGACCUCUGGUUGGGACCUUGAUCAGUUUCACAACUUUUGGCUUGGUGUCCAAUGUGACUGCUCCCCCCACCCGAUCUGCUGUAUUGUACUACCUCAAGAGUGACAGCCCUGUGUGGAGGAAUGACAGGCAGCUCAUUUUAUCUGUGAACCUGCAUCUGCUUUAACUUCAACAGUAAGUAAAUAAGCCCAAACAAAUUCUUUGCUUUGUGUUAGGGAUGGGCAAUAUGGCAAAAAUGUCACAUCACGAUUUUGUUCAUGUUAUCCUAAGUUGACAUCUACUCUCAUAUCACCAUAUCGAUAUAUUCUAAUAUUGCUGAACCCUACUCUGCGUUUUUCUCCAAUUGAUUUAUAUAUGCCCAGUGUAACUCAGGUUUCACCAGUAAAGCCCAUCUCUUUGUUCCUCCAGUGUUGUACUUCAUGUGGAGAUGCAAGGACUGUGGGACAGCAUUAUCAAAAAGAUCUGAACUGCUCAAGCACUACAAACUGAUUCAUAGGCAUUACGGACGGGGCUACUCAUAUCCAUGCACUUAUUUAAAUUGGGCAUGUAGGUUCAAGACUUGGAAUGCCCUACUGAGCCAUCUAUCAAGAAAUCACCCUGCCCAACAAGCAGUCCCCAAUAUAUGUUGUAUGUAAUAUAGGUUAUGUUGUAUACAGGAUGAGACCAGUAAUUUUUUUUUUCCAUAAUACAAUAUCUAUUGUCAUUUGUGUUUUCUUUUUAGAUUAAUACAGAGUUCCAGAGGCUCAUGGCUGUUCCUCUUGAGAAGUUCAUGGCACAGUUAGACAUGCACUCAAGUCAGCUGAUCAAAGUCAUCCAUGUCAAAGGAGGAGCAACACGCCAAAAGACUUCAGAUGUCAUGGACACUUUGGACCAGAUAGAUCUGUACCAUGAAACGAAACCCUUCAUAACUAAGAGGGCUGUCACAAUAUAUCUGUAGCCUUCAUAAAUACAUUAAUAUGGGCAGGCCAAUGCUGAUCGUGGCUUUCAUAUACAUGAAUGUUUUUAGCGACUCAAACACUACACUGAGCUCAUCCCUUUUUUUUUUUUAUCUGGGCUUGUAAAUGGCUAUUUCUAAAUAAAGUGCAAAAGUUAAGCUAUAAGAGUAAGGAUGUCUGUCUCGUGAAAUUUAGAACAAUAAAAUUAAUCGUUUGUUGUUCUAGACUGUGGACACUAAUCUUCGGAGAGAAUGUGUGCUGAAAGCCCUCACCAUCUUCAUGGGAGAAGAUGUAAAUGACCUCAUCAAGGAAUAUCUUGACUCUGGAACAGAUGAUACACAGAGGGAGCUGGAGCAGCUCACCAUGGCAGUGUUUGUCAUUCGGAAGGAGGGGGAAGGACUUCAGGAGCCACCUGAAGACAUUGGCAUCGUCAUUGACAGUGCGGAAGUACUGCAUGAACUGACUUCGGUUGCCUCAGCUUGUGCCCUGCUUUUAGGUUUGAUUUAUGCACUAAACCUAGCUUAUCCAAAACCCCUUCGGUUCACUUUUGAAGUACUCAAAAAAAUCCUGAUGCAGCUUGAUCAGCAUAAGAUGUCCCCCAAAGUCUAUAAUCUGUAUAGCAAACUUCAAAGCUCACAGUAACGACACACUACGAUGGAUUCCUCCUCUGGGCCAACAAACGGCCUAGUGCCAUACUGUGAAAGAACAAAUGUUUUUGUACAUAAUGCAUUUAAAAAACGUGUCUCUUUCGGUUGUUGGGCCUUAUUUUAAUGCUCGACGAGACUCAACAAAUGUUCCUGAAAACCACAA